This 2936-nucleotide ribosomal RNA is filed under the name Desulfovibrio ferrophilus. RNAcentral describes it as "bacterial LSU rRNA". It matches the Rfam family "Bacterial large subunit ribosomal RNA". The record is from RNAcentral. Lineage: Bacteria; Pseudomonadati; Thermodesulfobacteriota; Desulfovibrionia; Desulfovibrionales; Desulfovibrionaceae.
UUAAGAUAUUAAGGGCAACUGGUGGAUGCCUAGGCGCUAAGAGGCGAUGAAGGACGUGGUAGGCUGCGAUAAGCCUCGAUGAGCCGCCAAGCAGGCUUUGAUUCGAGGAUUUCCGAAUGGGGAAACCCAGCGGGAGUAAUGUCCCGUUAACCCUUUGCUGAACACAUAGGCUUAGGGUGGCGAACCCGGGGAAGUGAAACAUCUCAGUACCCGGAGGAGAAGAAAUCAAGAGAGAUUCCCAAAGUAGCGGCGAGCGAAAUGGGAUUAGCCCAAACCGAUCAGUUUCGACUGGUCGGGGUUGUAGGGCCUCAAUAAACGAUCCGUGAUUAGAUAGGGGAACAAGCUGGGAAGCUUGACCAUAGAGGGUGACAGUCCCUUACCUGAAAUCGAAUAGCGGCGUAUGAGGUACCUGAGUACCGCGGGACACGUGAAACCCCGUGGGAAUCUGGGAGGACCAUCUUCCAAGGCUAAAUACUCCUUAGCGACCGAUAGUGAACCAGUACCGUGAGGGAAAGGUGAAAAGUACCCCUGUUAGGGGAGUGAAAUAGUACCUGAAACCAGUUGCCUACAAGCAGUGGGAGCGGACUUGUUCCGUGACCGCGUGCCUUUUGCAUAAUGGGCCAGCGAGUUAAUCUACCGUGCAAGGUUAAGCCGUAAGGUGUAGCCGUAGCGAAAGCGAGUCUGAAUAGGGCGAUCAGUACGUUGGAUUAGACCCGAAGCCGGGUGAUCUAUCCAUGAGCAGGCUGAAGCUUGAGUAAAAUCAAGUGGAGGGCCGAACCGUUGUAAGUUGAAAAUUGCUCGGAUGACUUGUGGAUAGGGGUGAAAGGCCAAUCAAACCCGGUGAUAGCUGGUUCUCUCCGAAAUAUAUUGAGGUAUAGCCUCAGGAGUUGACUGACGGAGGUAGAGCACUGAAAGGGCUAGGGGGCUUACCCGCUUACCAACCCCUAUCAAACUCCGAAUGCCGUUAGUUUCAUCCUGGGAGUCAGACUAUGGGUGCGAAGGUCCAUGGUCGAAAGGGAAACAGCCCAGACCGUCGGCUAAGGUCUCGAAGUGUAUGCUCAGUGGGAAAGGAAGUGAAAUCGUUUAGACAGCCAGGAGGUUGGCUUAGAAGCAGCCAUCCUUUAAAGAAAGCGUAAUAGCUCACUGGUCUAAUGAUUUCGCGCCGAAAAUGUAACGGGGCUAAGCAUACCACCGAAGCCACGGGUGCGUAGUUUUACUACGCGCGGUAGGAGAGCGUUCUCAUUUGGGAUGAAGGUAGUCCGUGAGGCCUGCUGGACUAAUGAGAAGUGAACAUGCUGGCAUGAGUAACGAUAAAAAGGGUGAGAAACCCUUUCGCCGUAAACCCAAGGUUUUCUGGGUAAAGAUAAUCUGCCCAGAGUUAGUCGGCCCCUAAGGCGAGGCUGAAAAGCGUAGUCGAUGGGAAACAGGUUAAUAUUCCUGUACCUUAUAGAGUGUGCGAUGGAGGGACGCAGGAGGAUAGAUGGUCCAGCUGUUGGAAUAGCUGGUGUAAGCGUGUAGGCUUGAGAGCUAGGUAAAUCCGGUUCUCUUUAAGGCCAAGGCGCGAUGCCGAGACAUUUAUGUUGAAGCCAUUGAUUCCAUGCUGCCAAGAAAAGCUUCUAAGUUUAGCUCUAUGAGACCGUACCGUAAACCGACUCAGGUGGGUGGGGUGAGUAACCCAAGGCGUUUGAGAGAACUCUGGCUAAGGAACUCGGCAAAAUGACCCCGUAAGUUCGCGAGAAGGGGUGCUCCGAUUGGUGACCCAUUUACUUGGAUAGCUGAUUGGAGCCGCAGAGAAAUGGCGGGGGCGACUGUUUACUAAAAACAUAGGACUCUGCGAAGUCGUAAGACGACGUAUAGGGUCUGACGCCUGCCCGGUGCCGGAAGGUUAAGAGGUGGGGUUAGGGUUCGCCCGAAGCUCUGAAUCGAAGCCCCGGUAAACGGCGGCCGUAACUAUAACGGUCCUAAGGUAGCGAAAUUCCUUGUCGGGUAAGUUCCGACCUGCACGAAUGGCGUAACGAUCUCCGCACUGUCUCGGCCAGAGACUCAGUGAAAUUGAAUUGGCGGUGAAGAUGCCGUCUACCCGCAGAAAGACGGAAAGACCCUGUGCACCUUUACUACAGCUUGACAUUGGUUUUUGGGCUAUCAUGUGUAGGAUAGGUGGGAGACUUUGAAGCCGGUACGCCAGUAUUGGUGGAGUCACCCUUGAAAUACCACCCUUGAUAGUCUAGGAGUCUAAUCCCAACCCGUAAUCCGGGUGGGAGACAGUGUCUGGUGGGUAGUUUGACUGGGGCGGUCGCCUCCCAAAGAGUAACGGAGGCGCGCAAAGGUUCCCUCAGGCUGAUUGGAAACCAGCCGUUGAGUGCAAAGGCAUAAGGGAGCUUGACUGUGAGAGAGACAUCUCGAGCAGGUACGAAAGUAGGUCUUAGUGAUCCGGUGGUUCCGAAUGGAAGGGCCAUCGCUCAUCGGAUAAAAGGUACGCCGGGGAUAACAGGCUGAUCGCGUCCAAGAGUUCACAUCGACGACGCGGUUUGGCACCUCGAUGUCGGCUCAUCACAUCCUGGGGCUGGAGCAGGUCCCAAGGGUACGGCUGUUCGCCGUUUAAAGUGGUACGCGAGCUGGGUUUAAAACGUCGUGAGACAGUUUGGUCCCUAUCUUCUGUGGGCGUAAGAGACUUGAGAAGGGUUGCCCCUAGUACGAGAGGACCGGGGUGAACGAACCUCUGGUGUUCCUGUUGUCGUGCCAACGGCAUCGCAGGGUAGCUAUGUUCGGAAAGGAUAACCGCUGAAAGCAUCUAAGCGGGAAGCCUGCUUCAAGAUUAGGUCUCUCUGACGCAAGUCCUAAAGACCCGUUGAAGACUACAACGUUGAUAGGCCGGAUGUGUAAGUGCAGCAAUGUAUUCAGCAAACCGGUACUAAUAGGUCGUGAGUCUUAACUCC